This 465-nucleotide ribosomal RNA is filed under the name uncultured Klebsiella sp. Its description in RNAcentral is "bacterial SSU rRNA". It matches the Rfam family "Bacterial small subunit ribosomal RNA", at positions 338 to 795 of the family's 1533-position model. Lineage: Bacteria; Pseudomonadati; Pseudomonadota; Gammaproteobacteria; Enterobacterales; Enterobacteriaceae. The record is from RNAcentral.
CCUACGGGGGGCUGCAGUGGGGAAUAUUGCACAAUGGGCGCAAGCCUGAUGCAGCCAUGCCGCGUGUGUGAAGAAGGCCUUCGGGUUGUAAAGCACUUUCAGCGGGGAGGAAGGCGGUGAGGUUAAUAACCUCAUCGAUUGACGUUACCCGCAGAAGGAGCACCGGCUAACUCCGUGCCAGCAGCCGCGGUAAUACGGAGGGUGCAAGCGUUAAUCGGAAUUACUGGGCGUAAAGCGCACGCAGGCGGUCUGUCAAGUCGGAUGUGAAAUCCCCGGGCUCAACCUGGGAACUGCAUUCGAAACUGGCAGGCUAGAGUCUUGUAGAGGGGGGUAGAAUUCCAGGUGUAGCGGUGAAGUGCGUAGAGAUCUGGAGGAAUACCGGUGGCGAAGGCGGCCCCCUGGACAAGGACUGACGCUCAGGUGCGAAAGCGUGGGGAGCAAACAGGAUUAGAUACCCGUGUAGUC